CAUCCUCCUCAUCCCCCUCAUCUCGGCCAUCUUCAAUCUCCUCCAUCACUUCAGCCUUGGCCUCGGCCACCAGCUCCCGCAGGGCCUUGUUGCUGGUGACGCUGCUGACGAAGGGAUGCUGAGAGGGGCAAGACAGCUGGUUCAUUUGUGAACGGCCAGAAGCAAUACCUGAUCACCCGGGGACCUGACUCUGCACACCAGAAACCAACGCAACUCACUCCUGUUAGAGAGCUCUGGCAUUCAGACUGCUCUAAACCAGCUGGACUUCCUCUAGGUAGUACCAGCUUUGAAAGGCAUGAAGAAUUUAAUUUCUCAUCCUUCUCUCCCACACCCCUCUUCAUUUGUCGAUUCACGCCUCGGUCCCAUGUUGAGGCCAGCAACGUGCUAGGUGCUGAAAAAGGCCAAACAAGCAGACAGGCAAGGUCCCUGGCCUCGGGAAAGACGAAGGGCAUGUCACCAGAUGACAAGAACAUUUUUCAGAUCAGAGAGGCACCUUACUAGAGUGGUCAAAUGAACAGGUUUGGAACCAGAUGACCAGAAAUCAGCUCUGUCGCUUACAUGCUGUGUGACCUUCUGCAGGCUACUUGACCUCUCUGUGCCUCAGUUUCUUAUCAUUUGUUUGACGGAGAUCCAAACAAUACCUACUUCACAGAGUUGUUAUGAAGAUUAAAUUAGUUAACAUUCGCUAAACACUUAGAAUCGAACCUGGCAUGGGAAAAAGCUUACAUAACAGUUUACUAAGUAAAAAUAAAUAUAUUUAGCAAAUAUUUAGUUGAAGGCCCUCUCCAUACGAGGCACUGUUCUGGAUGACUGGGGCGCACUGGUGAAAACAAAACAAAACAAAACAAAAGCUGCUGUCCCCAGGGAGCUGACACGCUGGUCAGGGUGACCAGCAAUAAACCUGAUACACACGUUAUACACUCUAAGUGCUAUGUGCCAUGGAGAACUAAAGUGGUGCAGGAAGACUGCCCUGGUGGUCCAGUGACUGAGAAUCCGCCUUCUAAUGCAGCAGACACAGGUUCAAUUCCUGGUUGGGGAACCAAGAUCCCGCGUGCCUCAACUAAGACCCAAUUCAGUGCCCCCCACCCCCGCAAAAAAAUGUAGGACACAGGAAGGAGAAUUAGGAAUGUGAGGGGUGCAGGUGGUUUGCAGUUUUAAAUAGAACACUUGGGGGAGGCCUCACUGAGAAGCUGCCAUGUGAGCAAUGAUUUGAAGAAAGAAAAGAGGUGGAGGUGUCUACGGGAAGAGCAGCCCAGGCAUAGCGGACAGCCAGCGCAAAGGCCCUGAGGCAGGAGGGCGCCUGGAGUGUCAGCAAGGAGGCUGGUUGGCUGGGGAAGAGUGAGGGGGUAAGAGAGAGACAGAUCUGAGGGAUCAAGGUGAGACAGGCAGAACUUGCAGGACCCUGCAGGUCACUGAGACUGGAUUUUAUCCUGAGUAAGAUGGAAGUCUCAAGCGGCAUGGACUCAGGAGGUAUAGGGGCUGACUUGUGCUUUUCCCUCGGCUACAAUGGAGGUGGUGAGAAGUGGUUGGAUUCUGGGCAUGUUCAGAAGGCAGGGAUGAUGGGACUCCCUGGUAGAAUGGAUACAGAGUGUGUGAGAAAGACCGGGUAAUCCCUCUGAGAAGAUGACUGCAAGGUUUGGGGCCUGACUGCUGGCAAGGUGGGGCUGCCAUCAACUGGGAUGGGAAAAUCAUUGCUAGAGCACAUUUGGGGAAAGAUCAGUGGCAGACUUGUUAAGUGUGAGAUGCCUGUGGACACCUAAGGCGGGCAGAGAAUACUAAGGGGGGUGGAGGGUAAACAAUCGGACACAAGGGUCUGGGGUUGAGCAGGGCAGUCUGGGCUGCAGGCAAACUAGGCGAGCCCAUCGAGGUGAUGGAGACAGAGGAAAAGGCCCUGGCAAACCUCAUGUGAAUCAGCUGGAGAAGGAGAACAGCCAAAGGAGACAGGCUAGUGACCAGUGAGAAGGAAGGAAACCAAGAGGGCGUGGAGACCUGACAUCAGGAACCAACAGCAGGAAGACGCGGGUCGCCUGCGACCGCUGCUGGGGCCCGCAAAACCAGCCCUGCGGCCUGAGCUGACCAUGGCGUCCAGAGAUGCUGACAACCUUGAAAAGUACGCUGUGCUAGAGCGGAGCAGGUUUAAGAGCAAAUUCAACAAGUGUAUACUAUGCACCAGUGAUGCUCCAGACGUCAGGUGGCUACAGACCUGCAUCCACUCACACACUUCUGUGAUGUGAGCACAAUCCACCUCCUGCAGAGGAGGAAACAGGCUCAGGGUGAGGACCACUCCUUCCUGGCGGGUGAGCCUCAUUUCAGAGCCUGGGGUACCACCAAGUAAUGACAGUCCCAGCUAAUAUCCAGGCAAGCGAAUGAAUGGACCACAAGCCAGCAGGGGCAGAAGUCAGUCGGCUGAAGGCAGGAUGCAGGGAACGAUGAGGGCCAGGAGGAACCAGCAGUCAGGCAAGGGCUGAGGCGGGGGCGUGAUCAGCUCUGGAGGAGGCGCUAGCUGGCAGGACGAGAUCUGGGCUCGCGUCUGGCCACUCAAAGCCAGGUGACCUCAGUAGGCCUGUUCUCUUCCCUGAGCCUUGGGACCUCACCUAUGAGGGUAACAAUGCCCCACCCUCCCUAACUCAAGAGAUAAAUAGGGACAUGGAAAAAGCUGACGGUAGCCUAAGCUCUGCAAGCAGUUUUAUUUAUGUGGAGGGAUCUCUCUUUUCUUCUGCAACCCUUCUGUCUUAGCAAAGAGUCCUCUGGCAGGAAGGUUUUUUCCCCCAACUAUGGAAAGGAAAUUCCUGGCCCAGGCUGAGGCUCCCGCGCUGCCAUGGGGGAUGAGAGACAGCUGGUCUCUUCACGGCAGCGUCCCGGAGGCCGGAUGUUCCAGGCCGGGAGGUGACUGUUCACAGGAAACAAUCGGCCCGAGGAGCCUGGAGCUCUCGCAUCUGAGGAGGACAGCAGGCCACCCCACCCCCACCGCCGGCUGCCCAGACCGUCCCUGCCCAGCGCCUCCCCACCCGACGGUGAGGCCUCCGUCACUCCAGCCGCGAGACUGCAAACACAGUGCAGAAACCCACAAGGGACGAUCGUGACCCCAAGCAGAUAACCCCGGUCUGCAUCCCCAUUUCUUUCCACUUUUAAACAAU
Bubalus bubalis (water buffalo) is the source of this 3137-nucleotide long non-coding RNA. RefSeq lists it as uncharacterized. The transcript has 3 exons. The record is from RefSeq and is a predicted model, not a curated record. Lineage: Eukaryota; Metazoa; Chordata; Mammalia; Artiodactyla; Bovidae.